Molecule: transfer RNA, 33 nt
Filed under: Anolis bahorucoensis
Lineage: Eukaryota; Metazoa; Chordata; Lepidosauria; Squamata; Anolidae
Also listed under: 1 other name
Description: partial tRNA-Met
Source: RNAcentral
CCAAAAAUGUUGGUUUAAAUCCCUCCUAUACUA